Molecule: ribosomal RNA, 1107 nt
Filed under: Hypoxylon hepaticolor
Lineage: Eukaryota; Fungi; Ascomycota; Sordariomycetes; Xylariales; Hypoxylaceae
Description: partial large subunit ribosomal RNA
Rfam family: Eukaryotic large subunit ribosomal RNA
Source: RNAcentral
GUACCCGCUGAACUUAAGCAUAUCAAUAAGCGGAGGAAAAGAAACCAACAGGGAUUGCCCUAGUAACGGCGAGUGAAGCGGCAACAGCUCAAAUUUGAAAUCUGGCCCUAGCGGUCCGAGUUGUAAUUUGUAGAGGAUGUUUUGGGCGAGGUGCCUUCCGAGUUCCCUGGAACGGGACGCCGGAGAGGGUGAGAGCCCCGUACGGUUGGACGCCGAGCCCGUGUAUAGCUCCUUCGACGAGUCGAGUAGUUUGGGAAUGCUGCUCUAAAUGGGAGGUAAAUUUCUUCUAAAGCUAAAUACCGGCCAGAGACCGAUAGCGCACAAGUAGAGUGAUCGAAAGAUGAAAAGCACUUUGAAAAGAGGGUUAAAUAGCACGUGAAAUUGUUGAAAGGGAAGCGUUUGCGACCAGACUUUUCCCCGGCGGAUCAUCCGGCGUUCUCGCCGGUGCACUUCGCCGGGGUUAGGCCAGCAUCGGUUUCCUUAGGGGGAUAAAGGCUCGGGGAACGUAGCUCCUCCGGGAGUGUUAUAGCCCCUUGCGUAAUACCCCUCGGGGGACCGAGGAACGCGCUCUGCAAGGAUGCUGGCGUAAUGGUCGUCAACGACCCGUCUUGAAACACGGACCAAGGAGUCGAACAUUUGUGCGAGUGUUGGGGUGUCAAACCCUCACGCGUAAUGAAAGUGAACGGAGGUGAGAGCCCCUCGGGGCGCAUCAUCGACCGAUCCUGAUGUAUUCGGAUGGAUUUGAGUAAGAGCAUAACUGUUCGGACCCGAAAGAUGGUGAACUAUGCGUGGAUAGGGUGAAGCCAGAGGAAACUCUGGUGGAGGCUCGCAGCGGUUCUGACGUGCAAAUCGAUCGUCAAAUCUGCGCAUGGGGGCGAAAGACUUAUCGAACCAUCUAGUAGCUGGUUACCGCCGAAGUUUCCCUCAGGAUAGCAGUGUUGUCUUUAGUUUUAUGAGGUAAAGCGAAUGAUUAGGGACUCGGGGGCGCUAUAUUGCCUUCAUCCAUUCUCAAACUUUAAAUAUGUAAGAAGCCCUUGUUGCUUAGUUGAACGUGGGCAUUCGAAUAUAUCAACACUAGUGGGCCAUUUUUGGUAAGCAGAACUGGCG